GUGUUGUAUGAAAGGAGAAAGCACUCCCCUUGACAAGGAUGGAAGAGGCCCUCAGGCCUGACAACAGGCACACAGUUAAGGCACUGAGAACUACUUCAUGGCUUCUAACCAUCAUUUUAA
This is a small nuclear RNA of Balaenoptera musculus (blue whale), 120 nucleotides long. The record is from Ensembl. Lineage: Eukaryota; Metazoa; Chordata; Mammalia; Artiodactyla; Balaenopteridae.